AAACCAGGAUUAGAUACCCUAUUAUAAAAAUUUAAAAUAAUUUUACUAAAAGAUUAAUAGUUAUUUUCUUUAAAUUUAAAAAAUUUGGCGGUAUUUUAGUCUUAUUAGAGGAAUCUGUUUUUUAAUUGAUAAUCCACGAUUAAUUUUACUUAUUUAAAAAAUUCAUAUAUCGCUGUCAUGAAUAUAUUUAAAAAUGUAAUUUCUUCAAUUAAUUUAAUAAUUUAUGUUAAGUCAAGAUGUGGUUUAUAGAUAAGCAAAUAAUGGAUUACAUUGAAUUUUAUUUUUGGAUUUAAAAUGAAAAAUAAAAAUGAAAUUGGAUUUAAUAGUAAUUUUAUUUAUUAAAUA
This 345-nucleotide ribosomal RNA is filed under the name Myzocallis castanicola. RNAcentral describes it as "partial 12S ribosomal RNA". Lineage: Eukaryota; Metazoa; Arthropoda; Insecta; Hemiptera; Aphididae. The record is from RNAcentral.